CCUACGUGGUGCAGCAGUGGGGAAUAUUGGACAAUGGGCGAAAGCCUGAUCCAGCCAUGCCGCGUGUGUGAAGAAGGCCUUCGGGUUGUAAAGCACUUUCAGUGGGGAAGAAAGCCUUGGGGCUAAUACCCUCGAGGAAGGACAUCACCCACAGAAGAAGCACCGGCUAACUCCGUGCCAGCAGCCGCGGUAAUACGGAGGGUGCGAGCGUCAAUCGGAAUUACUGGGCGUAAAGCGCGCGUAGGCGGUCUGAUAAGCCGGUUGUGAAAGCCCCGGGCUCAACCUGGGAACGGCAUCCGGAACUGUCAGGCUAGAGUGCAGGAGAGGAAGGUAGAAUUCCCGGUGUAGCGGUGAAAUGCGUAGAGAUCGGGAGGAAUACCAGUGGCGAAGGCGGCCUUCUGGACUGACACUGACGCUGAGGUGCGAAAGCGUGGGUAGCAAACAGGAUUAGAUACCCCUGUAGUC
This 465-nucleotide ribosomal RNA is filed under the name Vreelandella stevensii. Its description in RNAcentral is "partial 16S ribosomal RNA". It matches the Rfam family "Bacterial small subunit ribosomal RNA", at positions 338 to 795 of the family's 1533-position model. The record is from RNAcentral. Lineage: Bacteria; Pseudomonadati; Pseudomonadota; Gammaproteobacteria; Oceanospirillales; Halomonadaceae.